UGCGGGAUGGAGCAGCCCGGUAGCUCGCGAGGCUCAUAACCUCGAGGUCGUCGGUUCGAAUCCGGCUCCCGCAA
RNAcentral lists this transfer RNA (74 nucleotides) under Rhodopirellula baltica. RNAcentral's name for it is "tRNA-Met". It matches the Rfam family "tRNA". Rfam says of the family: Transfer RNA (tRNA) molecules are approximately 80 nucleotides in length. The record is from RNAcentral. Lineage: Bacteria; Pseudomonadati; Planctomycetota; Planctomycetia; Pirellulales; Pirellulaceae. RNAcentral also lists the same sequence under 21 other names.